RNAcentral lists this transfer RNA (73 nucleotides) under Bos taurus (domestic cattle). It matches the Rfam family "tRNA". Rfam says of the family: Transfer RNA (tRNA) molecules are approximately 80 nucleotides in length. Lineage: Eukaryota; Metazoa; Chordata; Mammalia; Artiodactyla; Bovidae. The record is from Rfam by way of RNAcentral. RNAcentral also lists the same sequence under 2 other names.
UCUCUGGUGGUCCAGGGGUUAAAAUUCUGUGCUUCCACUGCAGGGGGCAUGGGUUCAAUCCCUAUCCAAGGAA